RNAcentral lists this microRNA (21 nucleotides) under Gossypium raimondii (Peruvian cotton). Its description in RNAcentral is "gra-miR8655". The record is from miRBase by way of RNAcentral. Lineage: Eukaryota; Viridiplantae; Streptophyta; Magnoliopsida; Malvales; Malvaceae.
AUAUGUUCUGAUUAUAUCUGU